AUUGAACGCUGGCGGAAUGCUUUACACAUGCAAGUCGAACGGCAGCACGGACUUCGGUCUGGUGGCGAGUGGCGAACGGGUGAGUAAUGUAUCGGAACGUGCCCAGUCGUGGGGGAUAACGUAGUGAAAAUUACGCUAAUACCGCAUACGAUCUAUGGAUGAAAGCGGGGGAUCGCAAGACCUCGCGCGAUUGGAGCGGCCGAUAUCAGAUUAGGUAGUUGGUGGGGUAAAGGGCCACCAAGCCAACGAUCUGUAGCUGGUCUGGGAGGACGACCAGCCACACUGGAACGAAGACACGGUCCAGACUCCGGCGGGAGGCAGCAGUGGGGAAUUUUGGACAAUGGGCGAAAGCCUGAUCCAGCCAUUCCGCAUGCAGGAUGAAGGCCCUCGGGUUGUAAACUGCUUUUGUACAGAACGAAAAGGUUUCUACUAAUACUAGGAGCUCAUGACGGUACUGUAAGAAUAAGCACCGGCUAACUACGUGCCAGCCGCCGCCGUAA
This 500-nucleotide ribosomal RNA is filed under the name uncultured bacterium. RNAcentral's name for it is "partial 16S ribosomal RNA". It matches the Rfam family "Bacterial small subunit ribosomal RNA", at positions 30 to 523 of the family's 1533-position model. The record is from RNAcentral.